GGCUUAGAGUUUGAUCAUGGCUCAGGAUGAACGCUGGCGGCGUGCCUAACACAUGCAAGUUGAGCGAUUUACUUCGGUAAAGAGCGGCGGACGGGUGAGUAACGCGUGGGUAACCUGCCCUGUACACACGGAUAACAUACCGAAAGGUAUGCUAAUACGAGAUGAUAUGCUUUUAUCGCAUGGUAGAAGUAUCAAAGCUUUUGCGGUACAGGAUGGACCCGCGUCUGAUUAGCUAGUUGGUAAGGUAACGGCUUACCAAGGCGACGAUCAGUAGCCGACCUGAGAGGGUGAUCGGCCACAUUGGAACUGAGACACGGUCCAAACUCCUACGGGAGGCAGCAGUGGGGAAUAUUGCACAAUGGGCGAAAGCCUGAUGCAGCAACGCCGCGUGAGCGAUGAAGGUCUUCGGGUCGUAAAGCUCUGUCCUCAAGGAAGAUAAUGACGGUACUUGAGGAGGAAGCCCCGGCUAACUACGUGCCAGCAGCCGCGGUAAUACGUAGGGGGCUAGCGUUAUCCGGAAUUACUGGGCGUAAAGGGUGCGUAGGUGGUUUCUUAAGUCAGAGGUGAAAGGCUACGGCUCAACCGUAGUAAGCCUUUGAAACUGGGAAACUUGAGUGCAGGAGAGGAGAGUG
This 632-nucleotide ribosomal RNA is filed under the name uncultured organism. RNAcentral's name for it is "bacterial SSU rRNA". It matches the Rfam family "Bacterial small subunit ribosomal RNA", at positions 1 to 663 of the family's 1533-position model. The record is from RNAcentral.